Molecule: long non-coding RNA, 2892 nt
Organism: Oreochromis niloticus (Nile tilapia)
Lineage: Eukaryota; Metazoa; Chordata; Actinopteri; Cichliformes; Cichlidae
Exons: 3
Source: RefSeq, a predicted model, not a curated record
AACUUUAUUUGAAACAAAGCAAACAGCCUGAAAAUCAGUGGUAAAUUGAGUUUCCUGCUAUGGCAGAUAAAUGAAUAGGGAAGAUUUAUGUAUUUAAAUCUAAUCCACUUGGUCCCAUAACUCUACACUGUAACAGUACUACAUUAUUUGAAUUACUUUAUUUAAACCCAUUUAUGCAAGUGCCAACCAGAGUUCAGUUUGUCCAUGCUGUUUGUGUGCUGGACUGAGAAGGAUAAUGAGCAAGCUCUCUAGGUCACUGUACACCUAACAUUUGGAUUCUUCAUGAAGUGGCAUGUGUACAACUCGCCAGCUUUCACUGGAAGGAGAUCAAUUAUAGAUUUUGGCUUUACUGGACACAAGCCCAACAAAUCCUGAUAAUCUACUGUGAAAACGGCAAUGACUCAACAGUGAAACAGUCAACAAGAGUUUAAAAUGAACUGUAUAGUGUAAACAGUGGUAAUGUGUUUGAACCGAGCACACAUCUAACACGCUGCUUCAAAUUAAUUCUUCCUGCUCAUUUUAAUCUUUUGGAAAUAUAUGAAAACACCAGAAUGAAAGCGAACGUGCCACUGGUGUCCAUGUAAUCUCCACACUGGUGAAAGCAAACAAAAUAGAUAUAACCAGAAAAGACUUACCUGGCAGAUGGGCCUGAGAAAAUAGCAUUUCAGUUAAUAUGAUUUGUGGAUGGAACUUAUUUCCGGGACCAUUUACACACUUGAAAGUGUGCCAUAAAAUAUUCAUAAUGCUUGUAGCAGAGAAAGAAAAUCUGUCUCUUCAAUUACAGAGACAAUUUUUAUGCAUGAGAUUUGCAAACAAGUUUACCACAUAUACCUGCUACAGUUGGAUACAAUGAUUUAGUCCCAUUCAUCAUCCCAACCAUCUGGAUGACAUGGGGGUGGAGGACGUAGCACCGGGGACGGGAGCCGCCGAGAGGAAGGGUUUGAGGUUAUACACACUUCUAUGCUCUAUUUACUGAGUGACAUUUACACAAUGUUUUACAAAAGGGUGAGCUGAGGUUAGCUACUGAGAUGCAUCAUGCUGUUCUUCAGAUGUCAUACAGAGCUUCGUUAUGCGGUGCUCACUGUUUGAGGAUCAACUCAAACAUGAAUCAAUAUGUAGAAUUAGCCUUUUCCUUCAAAUGAAACUUUGGAAAAUUUUUAAUGUGCCAAAUAUGCUUUUUGGUAAAUGUCCCAGUGAUCAGAUGGGCACAAAAUGACCAUUAUAUGAGCAUAAUCCUGCAAUGAGAUGUGACACAUUUCACAUGGCAUGGGAAAAACAGGCUAAAGACACAGACCUAGAGAGGAUCUCCAUCCAUUAUCCAUCCAGGUCAGGGAUGUGGGGCCUAUCCUAAUGUCACUGGGUAAGAAACAUAAACUGUAUAUAGCUUAGUUUGCACGUUUCCUCUCCUUUCCUCAUCCCUCUCCUCGUGUCUUAGUCCAUCUUCAAAGGAGGAGGAGACAAAAAGGAGAGAGAGCAGUCAAGGCAACUAAUAUUUAACAAAAUGAGACAGCCUUGCUUUGAAAACUAGUUUUAAAGCGGCGUCAAAAGAAUAUGAAGUUUGGCACAGAUGCUUCAUAAACUGUUUUGUCAUAGCCAGAAAAUGCUCUGUUUAAUCAUCUCAGAUAUAACAGUUUUUAGCAUCCUCACAGUGACACUUUUUACCCUAUAUUUAAGGCUGGUUUUAUUAAAUUCACAGAAUUCGCAGUCUGACAGCAAAUCUUACAGUUUUGAUCAUCUUAUAUAACAGAUUCAAGUUAUGGAUACAAAGUUUAAGGGGAUAUAAGGCAAUAUACAAACUCCCAUCACAGUUUGUAUAUUGCUGAUGUGUGCUAUGACUCUUUUACACAAUGAAGGUAACAAACUUUUCCACAAAGGAAACGUCUGUGCAUCCUUGAUUAUAGCUCCUCUGCCAAGCCUUUUCUCUCUUUUUCUGAUGCAUUUUAGGAAGUCAGACACCUAUCAGCAGAGCGUAUUGAGACUGAUUUCCAGGACAUAGACAGGAAGACAGAGAACAGAGGAAAAAAGAAGGCACACAUUCAAGAAAUUCCUAUCGAGACAACCAUUCACACACUCACAUUCACAUCUACAGCCGAUUUAGAAUCAGCAAUUAACUGAACAGGCACAGCCUUUGAGGGGAAGCUGGAGAGAACCCACAGAGUAAAGAACACGCUGCACACAGGAAGCCCCAAAACCAGGACAUUCUUGCUGUGAGGCAACAGUGAGCACCGUUAUGAUGUUAGUACCUUUGUGCAUGGUUCAUUUUAGUCAACAGAACAUAUUCAUGUUACAUUUAUUAAGGUUCUAUCUUAUAUUUGAUAUUUUCUAUAAUAUAAUCACAGGUUAUUAUACAUCUUUUAUGUCUUUUAAGCAUUUUGACACAACUCCUGCCAUCUUUGUGCACAGUUGCCAUGGUUCCUACUGUUAUUUUUAUCUUUUGCAAGGUUAGUGGAAAACUGUCUUUUCUCUGCAGUGUUACCACAGACUAUCACCAGUAAGAGUCUGUGAAAUCCAGUUAAAUCAUCAGUAAAUCCAGGGCGCUGUCUGGGUGUUUGGGCCAUCCUGUACUCCACGCCCAUGCAAAACUCACCUGCUGCUCAUCUCUGCUAAUUGCUUCAGGCAGUACUUAAGGCCUUGGUGGAGUGUUGGUCCUCAGUGGAUCGUUGUACUUACUUCCACCUUGGACCUGCGCCUGGCUUCCCUGGACCCUACCUGGAUGAGCAAGAGUGUGAGUGAGGCACGGCGUGGAUUUUGCAAGCAUUGCCUGUUCCCCAGUUGCUUGAAGUACAUGGACUUGUCCCUCAUUGUGAAUCUCUCUUUUGGUUUGAACGUGUGUGAGUGGGCAGGUCUUACUUUGUCAGAGGUUUUCCUGGAUGCAUGUACUCUCAGCAGUUC